RNAcentral lists this ribosomal RNA (202 nucleotides) under Leontynka pallida. Its description in RNAcentral is "small subunit ribosomal RNA". It matches the Rfam family "Bacterial small subunit ribosomal RNA", at positions 1041 to 1366 of the family's 1533-position model. Lineage: Eukaryota; Viridiplantae; Chlorophyta; Chlorophyceae; Chlamydomonadales. The record is from RNAcentral.
UUGCAUGGCUGAAAGAUACCGCUACCAGAGCGAGUCGUUCAAGUCCUCAUGGCCCUUGUAGAGUGGGCUACACGUGUAUGACACUGGGCAGACCAAAGCACGGCCUCAAAGCUGCCCGCCCGGAUUGGCUUCUGAAACUGGAGGCCAUGAAGUCGGAAUCGCGAGUAAUCGUGGAUUAGUCAGGCCACGGUGAAGCUCAGCU